RNAcentral lists this long non-coding RNA (568 nucleotides) under Vigna radiata. RNAcentral describes it as "long non-coding RNA (VRAD_LNC011702)". The record is from RNAcentral. Lineage: Eukaryota; Viridiplantae; Streptophyta; Magnoliopsida; Fabales; Fabaceae.
AGGAUCAGCGAAAAAGAUGCUGGAGGAAUAUGGUGGUUGGAAAAAGCAUCAUGCUUGCAUUACAUGUCCUUCUGUGUGGCAAAAUGAGCAGAGGAGAGAUGCAUGCGUGAGAGGUUGCGUGCAAAUGGCAGAGAUGACGAGUCUUUGUGUUGAGGGAAGGGGAUUCUUCUGAUCAGAGGUACUUAGCAGGGACUGAAGAUGCCAGAAAAAAGGCUAGGUUUAGAUAAAGGGACCAGAAGUUACUCAUCAUUACUUAACUGUGUAUCUGAAAUAUAGUCAUUAAGGAGGUUCUCAAAAUAAUAUUGGCUCAUAUGUAAGAUCUAUUUUCAUAUUGGAGCCCUCUGAAACUCCUGAAAAUUGAAUACAUAUUAAAAAAAUGGGACAUUAAAAAGAUGAACAACAUAAGACUACUAAAAAAUCAGCCGGGUGAAAAAGUAAGAGUUGACUAGGAUUUAACUGUAGUUUCUGUUUUAUAUGUCUGUAUAUAUGUAUGAGUGCUUCUGAACUGUUUCAUACUUGUUAACUAUGCUAUUUGAAGGCUUGGGUUCUGGAUGCAACGCCUGGAAAA